RNAcentral lists this ribosomal RNA (253 nucleotides) under uncultured bacterium. Its description in RNAcentral is "partial 16S ribosomal RNA". It matches the Rfam family "Bacterial small subunit ribosomal RNA", at positions 524 to 776 of the family's 1533-position model. The record is from RNAcentral.
UACAGAGGUCUCAAGCGUUGUUCGGAUUCAUUGGGCGUAAAGGGUGCGUAGGCGGCGCGGUAAGUCGGGUGUGAAAUCUUGGAGCUUAACUCCGAAACUGCAUUCGAUACUGCCGUGCUUGAGGACUGGAGAGGAGACUGGAAUUUACGGUGUAGCAGUGAAAUGCGUAGAUAUCGUAAGGAAGACCAGUGGCGAAGGCGAGUCUCUGGACAGUUACUGACGCUGAGGCACGAAGGCCAGGGGAGCAAACGGG